Electrophorus electricus (electric eel) is the source of this 284-nucleotide long non-coding RNA. The record is from Ensembl. NCBI's taxonomy places the organism in Eukaryota, Metazoa, Chordata, Actinopteri, Gymnotiformes, Gymnotidae.
UAGAUUAGCCAGCAUUAGCUCAGUUUUGGAGUAGGUUGACUAGCAGCAGAGGGCAGAGAGCAAGAGUGUGUGUCAUUUGGGAUUUGACGCAGACUGAUUUAAUCUUAUUUCAAUUGCUGGGGGAAGCAUUGAACAAGAGUCAGUCAGAGAAUUGGAAGAUGUUUAUGAAAAUCCACAGGCCAAAGAUCCAGUUGUACAACACAAAAGACAGUGCCCCCAGUCAGAUAGGCCUCCUCUGUCCCCCGGCUUAGCCUGAAUUACUGCAUCUCUGUAGAUAAAUAGGA